UCAGGGGUCACAUUGUGGGGAGUCAGCAGAAGAUAGAAGACUACCACACAGGGGUCAGGGGUCACAUUGUGGGGAGUCAACAGAAGAUAGAAGGGGACCACACAGGGGUCAGGGGUCACAUUGUAGGGAGUCAGCAGAAGAUAGAAGACUGAUAUAGGUUUUCUGUUUAUGCCCAAUAUGUGACUGUACUGCCUGCACCCUCUGCAUUGAGGCUUGGGUGCAAAGUCCUGUUACCACUGUGAUAGUAACUCCAAUGUCGACCACCAUGUCUGGCAGGAAUACCCGUGUUUGACAAGUCAUCUGUUUACUCUGCUGGGCCCCAUCAUGUGAUCACCACAGUUUCAGAAACAGGCCUAUACAUCACUGAUGUUUAAAAUGGGAAGGAACAACUGCAUGUAUACAGUUCACAGGUGGCACAUGGUCCUGUGUACAGUGCACUGGUCACAAUCAGGUGGUGUAAGUGGGGCGCAGAGAGUCCUUGGAUGGAUGACAUGUUCAACAGCGUGGCUCUUGAGAGUUUGUGGGCUUUGGUCCAGCCCCACACUGAAGCACAUGUGCUAUUGCAGGAGUUGAGGCAGCAGAGGAGAUGAGCUGGAUUGUUCCGUAGACAGACACCUAACAGGAUGCUCGAAGCAGAAAAUGCCCGUCUGCGCUUGACGUAGGAACCACUUGGACUAUAAACUCGUCUUGAUUUAUUUUGGUAGGGAGAGUAAUCCCCCUUUUUGACAAGGAAUAUUAGCAGUGGUGAUUGAUCUGCUGGUCUGGUGAGAUGGACUGGCCCGAGACCCCCAGUGUACAGGGAUCACCCUGCUGAAGCAGCACACUUGCAGCUAGCCGAUGUUGUGCUGGGGGCAGCCCCUGGAGGCACUGCCUGUUACAUCUGGUGUGUAGAUAUCAAACACGUAUCAGAUAUCAUAGGACACUCCAACAAUCUCAUGAGAUGAAUUCUGAAAAUAAUUUUGUCAAUAUUUCUGAUUGGUCUAAUAUGUAAGUUUGGAGAGCUUCAA
Long non-coding RNA from Haliotis rufescens (red abalone), 1007 nucleotides. RefSeq lists it as uncharacterized. The transcript is spliced from 4 exons. The record is from RefSeq and is a predicted model, not a curated record. NCBI's taxonomy places the organism in Eukaryota, Metazoa, Mollusca, Gastropoda, Lepetellida, Haliotidae.